Molecule: ribosomal RNA, 492 nt
Filed under: uncultured bacterium
Lineage: Bacteria
Description: partial 16S ribosomal RNA
Rfam family: Bacterial small subunit ribosomal RNA
Source: RNAcentral
AGUGAACGCUGGCGGUAGGCCUAACACAUGCAAGUCGAACGGCAGCACAGUAAGAGCUUGCUCUUACGGGUGGCGAGUGGCGGACGGGUGAGGAAUACAUCGGAAUCUACUUUUUCGUGGGGGAUAACGUAGGGAAACUUACGCUAAUACCGCAUACGACCUACGGGUGGAAGCAGGGGAUCUUCGGACCUUGCGCGAUUCAAUGAGCCGAUGUCGGAUUAGCUAGUUGGCGGGGUAAAGGCCCACCAAGGCGACGAUCCGUAGCUGGUCUGAGAGGAUGAUCAGCCACACUGGAACUGAGACACGGUCCAGACUCCUACGGGAGGCAGCAGUGGGGAAUAUUGGACAAUGGGCGCAAGCCUGAUCCAGCCAUACCGCGUGGGUGAAGAAGGCCUUCGGGUUGUAAAGCCCUUUUGUUGGGAAAGAAAAGCAGCAGGUUAAUACCCCGCUGUUCUGACGGUACCCAAAGAAUAAGCACCGGCUAACUUCGUG